This 303-nucleotide ribosomal RNA is filed under the name uncultured bacterium. RNAcentral describes it as "bacterial SSU rRNA". It matches the Rfam family "Bacterial small subunit ribosomal RNA", at positions 173 to 507 of the family's 1533-position model. The record is from RNAcentral.
UAUCCAUCUCGUAUGGAUUAAAGCUUUAUGCGCUUUGGGAGGGGCCUGCGUAACAUUAGCUUGUUGGUGAGGUAAAAGCUCACCAAGGCUUCGAUGUUUAACUGGUUUGAGAGGAUGACCAGUCACACUGGGACUGAGAUACGGCCCAGACUCCUACGGGAGGCAGCAGUAAGGAAUCUUCCACAAUGGGGCAACCCUGAUGGAGCAAUACCGCGUGCAGGAUGAAGCGUUUCGGCGUGUAAACUGCUUUUAUCACCGAAGAUUAUGACUGUAGGUGAAGAAUAAGGACCGGCUAACUACGUG